This 72-nucleotide transfer RNA is filed under the name Erinaceus europaeus (western European hedgehog). It matches the Rfam family "tRNA". From Rfam's summary of the family: Transfer RNA (tRNA) molecules are approximately 80 nucleotides in length. Their secondary structure includes four short double-helical elements and three loops (D, anti-codon, and T loops). The record is from Rfam by way of RNAcentral. Lineage: Eukaryota; Metazoa; Chordata; Mammalia; Eulipotyphla; Erinaceidae.
CGGGGAGGGGCUCAGCAGUAGAGCACAGGACUUGCAUGCCCGAGGCCCCUGGUUCAAUCCCUGGCUCUGCAU